RNAcentral lists this ribosomal RNA (379 nucleotides) under uncultured eukaryote. RNAcentral's name for it is "partial 18S ribosomal RNA". It matches the Rfam family "Eukaryotic small subunit ribosomal RNA", at positions 592 to 976 of the family's 1831-position model. The record is from RNAcentral.
CAAUAGCGUAUAUUAAAGUUGUUGCAGUUAAAAAGCUCGUAGUUGAACUUCAGAUUUGACCGAAUGGUCUGCCUAACGGUAUGUACUGUCUGGCUGAGUCUUACUUCUUGGUGAGCCAGUAUGCCCUUCAUUGGGUGUGCUGGGGAACCAGGACUUUUACCUUGAGAAAAUUAGAGUGUUCAAAGCAGGCCUAUGCCCGAAUACAUUAGCAUGGAAUAAUAAAAUAGGACGUGUGGUUCUAUUUUGUUGGUUUCUAGAAUCGCCGUAAUGAUUAAUAGGGAUAGUUGGGGGCAUUAGUAUUCAGUUGCUAGAGGUGAAAUUCUUGGAUUUACUGAAGACUAACUACUGCGAAAGCAUUUGCCAAGGAUGUUUUCAUUAA